GAGUUUGAUCGUGGCUCAGAUUGAACGCUGGCGGCAGGCCUAACACAUGCAAGUCGAGCGGUAGAGAGAAGCUUGCUUCUCUUGAGAGCGGCGGACGGGUGAGUAAUGCCUAGGAAUCUGCCUGGUAGUGGGGGAUAACGCUCGGAAACGGACGCUAAUACCGCAUACGUCCUACGGGAGAAAGCAGGGGACCUUCGGGCCUUGCGCUAUCAGAUGAGCCUAGGUCGGAUUAGCUAGUUGGUGAGGUAAUGGCUCACCAAGGCGACGAUCCGUAACUGGUCUGAGAGGAUGAUCAGUCACACUGGAACUGAGACACGGUCCAGACUCCUACGGGAGGCAGCAGUGGGGAAUAUUGGACAAUGGGCGAAAGCCUGAUCCAGCCAUGCCGCGUGUGUGAAGAAGGUCUUCGGAUUGUAAAGCACUUUAAGUUGGGUAGGAAGGGCAGUAAAUUAAUACUUUGCUGUUUGACGUUACCGACAGAAUAAGACACCGGCUAACU
RNAcentral lists this ribosomal RNA (499 nucleotides) under uncultured bacterium. RNAcentral describes it as "bacterial SSU rRNA". It matches the Rfam family "Bacterial small subunit ribosomal RNA", at positions 9 to 502 of the family's 1533-position model. The record is from RNAcentral.